RNAcentral lists this unclassified non-coding RNA (233 nucleotides) under plant metagenome. RNAcentral describes it as "partial contains small subunit ribosomal RNA, internal transcribed spacer 1, and 5.8S ribosomal RNA". The record is from RNAcentral.
UUUCCGUAGGUGAACCUGCGGAAGGAUCAUUAUUGGAUUUUGAAACUUCAGGCUGCUGCUGGCUCUCCUCGGAGGGCAAGUGCACGCUUGUUGUCCAUUAUUUCUCCCACUGUGCACAAAUUGUAGACCUUUCAGUAGGCCUAUGUUGUUUUUCACAAUCUCUGAAUGUAAUAGAAUGGUUUUGAAUCUUGGGAAAUACAAUACAACUUUCAGCAACGGAUCUCUUGGCUCUC